UUUUUUUUUUUUAAUUUAGUUCAAUUGCCUAAGUGCCUGGCAAAGCUUGAUGUGCUUGAGUUUCCUAACUUGUACAUAGAUAAUUCCGUAAAAGAGAGAGUUCAUCUCUCUGGACAUCCCAAGGUAAGAGGACACACACUAGCCUGUCCUUCUGCUAUUGCAUCUAGGGAGUCACUGAUUAGACAUGUUUUUUUCCCAUGUUGCAGGACAAAUAAAACACCCAACUUUGUUGAGGAUCGAAGACCCUGGGCUGUCAGGACACCUUUCCCAUCUGCUUGGCUGUAUUAGUGAGACUCUGUUACCACUUAACUAUCCUCUUGGCUGGAAUGCUUUAUUUUGUUCCCUGCUAUCUCCAAGAAAAACAAGUGGUUGUCUUGAAGCUUACUUAUGUUGUAUCUACAUUAAAUGAUUCUAAUUCCAUGCAUAAAACCCACUUAUUUAGAAGAUAAAGAUUCUGUUCUAAUUACCACCUCUGAAACUAGAAAAUUUGUUUCUGAUCCCACUAAUACACAGUUCUAUGUCCUAGAUUUUUCAGGUACAGGAGCCAAUAAAUUCUUUUUGUCUCAAGCAAAUUUGAAUUGCAUUUUCUGUAAUUUGAAGCCAAAAGAGUCUUAACUAAUAUAAUGGCUUGCCUACAACAAUAGACUUAUCUAGUUUUAUAGCCUUAGGCAAGCCUGAGUAUUACCUGUUCUUUCUUUCAUCCUCAGAUCUUCCUUGCUGAUGAGCUUUAUGUCUUUCUACUUCUUUACUCAUCCCAAUCCUCACAUGUACAACGUACUACAGUAAGUUGCCUGUUGAAGGCAUCGGUAUUCAACAGAUAUUUAUGAAGUCAACCCAAAUGAACAUUAAUACUGACUGGUUUUAAAUAGUUUUAAGUAUUUCUGUAAAGAUCAUUUACUUAAUAGUGAGAGUCAUACUCUGUGUGUCUCUAUAUGCCCUGCGCCUAGGAAAAUUCUAAGCAUAUUAGUUGCAUGCAUUAAAAAAGUUAAAAUGAAUUAGAAACAUUCAAUGGGUGGGGGAGUUGAAAUGGAUAACUGCCAGGACAGGGUCCCUGUAGGCUACAUGAAAAUGUUGCAUGAGAAAAUUCUUUUUUUGUGAGAAAGAACAAAAGGCAAAAUCAUAAUAACGAAUGCCUAAAAAUAAGCAAAAGGUAUACCAGAGGCUGUACAAAGGUUUGAUGCCCUAGAGAAAGUAGAACUGCUUACACUGCUUUGGUAGUAGAAAGACAAAGGUUAUACUCUCAUAAGUUAUGUGGACACCCACAAUUAAUUAUUGUAGUCCCGGCAAGGAGAAGGCCCAGUACUGCCACGUCAUGGAGACUACCGUGUGAAUCAUGCUCCUCGAUCAUAGCAGCCCUAGGACAGCCAGUGGGGUCAUAUCCAAGGAAGGACCAUGACCCCUUAGGAGGAUGAUCCCACCUCUCUUAUUUUCUUCCCCUUUCAUUUCAGACUCAUGUA
RNAcentral lists this long non-coding RNA (1457 nucleotides) under Macaca fascicularis (crab-eating macaque). RNAcentral's name for it is "lncRNA (ENSMFAG00000057006.1)". Lineage: Eukaryota; Metazoa; Chordata; Mammalia; Primates; Cercopithecidae. The record is from RNAcentral.